UGUCGGUCCUCCCGCAACGAUAAGUCGUGAACUUGGUCAGGCCUGGAAGGGAGCAGCCACAGCGACCUCUUCGUGUGCCGGGAUGUGGCUGGCGGAG
Molecule: signal recognition particle RNA, 97 nt
Filed under: Oceanospirillaceae bacterium
Lineage: Bacteria; Pseudomonadati; Pseudomonadota; Gammaproteobacteria; Oceanospirillales; Oceanospirillaceae
Description: signal recognition particle sRNA small type
Rfam family: Bacterial small signal recognition particle RNA
About the family: The signal recognition particle (SRP) is a universally conserved ribonucleoprotein involved in the co-translational targeting of proteins to membranes. Archaeal SRP consists of a 7S RNA and homologues of the eukaryotic SRP19 and SRP54 proteins.
Source: RNAcentral